Dreissena polymorpha is the source of this 503-nucleotide long non-coding RNA. RefSeq lists it as uncharacterized. The transcript is spliced from 3 exons. The record is from RefSeq and is a predicted model, not a curated record. Lineage: Eukaryota; Metazoa; Mollusca; Bivalvia; Myida; Dreissenidae.
UUAGUUGAUAAUAAUAUGUUUCUUGUUGUAAAAUAAUUUAUCUUGACCGGAUGUUAACUUUUCAAAUUAAUAUUCCAAACUGAAACUUGUUUAUUUUCGAAACCGCUAUUUAUACUUUUCGGCCGUGACGUCAAUGACACGUGACGACCGUUGAAGGUAAAAUUAUCUACCAAUGAACGUAAUAUGAAAUGGCGGAUUUAAUGAAUGAGAUGCAAGCGUUAACAACAAUAUUAUACAAAUACAAUGACAAAAACCUUCAUCUUUUUCAGUAUUUCCAUAUACCAUGUCAACUGGUAACCUUAUUUCUCUACCAAGAUGUAACAUUGAUGGUGAACAUUCUGUAGAUGACUGGACAGAUGACCUGUAGGCCAUGAGUACUAAAUCAAUGUGUUCAUCCCAGUCAUCUUGAUUUGAAGAAACAUAAGAGUUAUCCAGACUAUCAAUGAAACAAUCCAAGGACAGAAUCUUUAUCGUUUCUGAUUUGCAUCUGGGUAAGCUUGUCG